This 497-nucleotide ribosomal RNA is filed under the name uncultured bacterium. RNAcentral's name for it is "partial 16S ribosomal RNA". It matches the Rfam family "Bacterial small subunit ribosomal RNA", at positions 28 to 507 of the family's 1533-position model. The record is from RNAcentral.
GACGAACGCUGGCGGCGUGCCUAAUACAUGCAAGUUGAGCGCUGAAGGUUGGUACUUGUACCAACUGGAUGAGCAGCGGACGGGUGAGUAACGCGUGGGGAAUCUGCCUUUGAGCGGGGGACAACAUUUGGAAACGAAUGCUAAUACCGCAUAAAAACUUUAAACACAAGUUUUAAGUUUGAAAGAUGCAAUUGCAUCACUCAAAGAUGAUCCCGCGUUGUAUUAGCUAGUUGGUGAGGUAAAGGCUCACCAAGGCGAUGAUACAUAGCCGACCUGAGAGGGUGAUCGGCCACAUUGGGACUGAGACACGGCCCAAACUCCUACGGGAGGCAGCAGUAGGGAAUCUUCGGCAAUGGACGAAAGUCUGACCGAGCAACGCCGCGUGAGUGAAGAAGGUUGUCGGAUCGUAAAACUCUGUUGGUAGAGAAGAACGUUGGUGAGAGUGGAAAGCUCAUCAAGUGACGGUAACUACCCAGAAAGGGACGGCUAACUACGUG